AUAGGUUGGACAGCUAUAUGU
This 21-nucleotide non-coding RNA is filed under the name Arabidopsis thaliana (thale cress). The record is from RNAcentral. Lineage: Eukaryota; Viridiplantae; Streptophyta; Magnoliopsida; Brassicales; Brassicaceae.